This is a long non-coding RNA of Anopheles funestus (African malaria mosquito), 749 nucleotides long. RefSeq lists it as uncharacterized. Lineage: Eukaryota; Metazoa; Arthropoda; Insecta; Diptera; Culicidae. The transcript has 3 exons. The record is from RefSeq and is a predicted model, not a curated record.
GAAAUUUUCAAGUUUUUUUGAAUUUUUUUAUUUUUUUCUUAUUUUUUAUGCCUUCUUCUAUUUAAAGCGUUAUUUGAGUGAAAAGAAACUCAUUCCAACCAAUUCGCAUCAAAAUAAAUCAAUUUUUAAAAUUUUGCUAAAUUUCCCAAAAAAAACCAAGGCUAACCCCUUAAGAAAUUUUCAAGUUUUUCGAUUUUUUUAAUUUUUUUCUUAUUUUUUAUGCUUUCUUCUAUUUAAAGCGUUAUUUGAGUGAAAAGAAACUCAUCCCAAUCAAUUCGCAUCAAAAUAAAUCAAUUUUUAAAAUUUUGCUAAAUUUCCCAAAAAAACCAAGGCUAACCCCUUAAGAAAUUUUCAAGUUUUUCGAUUUUUUUUAUUUUUUUCUUAUUUUUUAUGCUUUCUUCUAUUUAAAGCGUUAUUUGAGUGAAAAGAAACUCAUCCCAAUCAAUUCGCAUCAAAAUAAAUCAAUUUUUAAAAUUUUGCUAAAUUUCCCAAAAAAACCAAGGCUAACCCCUUAAGAAAUUUUCAAGUUUUUUGAAUUUUUUUAUUUUUUUCUUAUUUUUUAUGCUUUCUUCUAUUUAAAGCGUUAUUUGAGUGAAAAGAAACUUAUUCCAACCAAUUCGCAUCAAAAUAAAUCAAUUUUUAAAAUUUUGCUAAAUUUCCCAAAAAAACCAAGGCUAACCCCUUAAGAAAUUUUCAAGUUUUUUGAUUUUUUUUAUUUUUUUCUUAUUUUUUAUUCUUUUUUUUAUUUA